AUUGAACGCUGGCGGCAUGCCUUACACAUGCAAGUCGAACGGUAACGGGCCUUCGGGUGCCGACGAGUGGCGAACGGGUGAGUAAUACAUCGGAACGUGCCCGAUCGUGGGGGAUAACGAGGCGAAAGCUUUGCUAAUACCGCAUACGAUCUACGGAUGAAAGCAGGGGACCGCAAGGCCUUGCGCGGACGGAGCGGCCGAUGGCAGAUGAGGUAGUUGGUGGGAUAAAAGCUUACCAAGCCGACGAUCUGGAGCUGGUCUGAGAGGAUGAUCAGCCACACUGGGACUGAGACACGGCCCAGACUCCUACGGGAGGCAGCAGUGGGGAAUUUUGGACAAUGGGCGCAAGCCUGAUCCAGCCAUGCCGCGUGCAGGAUGAAGGCCUUCGGGUUGUAAACUGCUUUUGUACGGAACGAAAAGCCUUCUUUUAAUACAGGAGGGUCAUGACGGUACCGUAAGAAUAAGCACCGGCUAACUACGUG
Molecule: ribosomal RNA, 482 nt
Filed under: uncultured bacterium
Lineage: Bacteria
Description: partial 16S ribosomal RNA
Rfam family: Bacterial small subunit ribosomal RNA
Source: RNAcentral